AGGACUAACGCUGGCGGCGUGCCUAACACAUGCAAGUCGAACGAGGUAGCAAUACCUAGUGGCAGACGGGUGAGUAACGCGUGGUCAACCUACCUCUUAGUGGGGGAUAACUAGCCGAAAGGUUAGCUAAUACCGCAUACGAUCGUCGCGAGGCAUCUCGUGACGAUGAAAGGAGCAAUUCGCUAAGAGAGGGGACUGCGUCCCAUUAGUUAGUUGGUGGGGUAAUGGCCCACCAAGACUCCGAUGGGUAGCUGGCUUGAGAGAGCGACCAGCCACACUGGAACUGAGACACGGUCCAGACUCCUACGGGAGGCAGCAGUGAGGAAUUUUCCGCAAUGGGCGCAAGCCUGACGGAGCGACGCCGCGUGUGGGAAGAAGGCCUUCGGGUCGUAACCACUGUCGAAGGGGACGAUAUUGACGGUACCCUUGGAGGAAGCCCGGCUAACACGUGCCAGCAGCCGC
This 462-nucleotide ribosomal RNA is filed under the name uncultured bacterium. RNAcentral describes it as "SSU rRNA". It matches the Rfam family "Bacterial small subunit ribosomal RNA", at positions 26 to 518 of the family's 1533-position model. The record is from RNAcentral.